GAUGCGGUCGCCGAGACGGAUUCAGGUGCCCGUCCGCAAGACGGGAGACGUAGGUUCAAUUCCUACCCGCAUCUCCA
Molecule: transfer RNA, 77 nt
Filed under: bacterium
Lineage: Bacteria
Description: tRNA-Cys
Rfam family: tRNA
About the family: Transfer RNA (tRNA) molecules are approximately 80 nucleotides in length. Their secondary structure includes four short double-helical elements and three loops (D, anti-codon, and T loops).
Source: RNAcentral